Molecule: small RNA, 284 nt
Filed under: Chromohalobacter israelensis DSM 3043
Lineage: Bacteria; Pseudomonadati; Pseudomonadota; Gammaproteobacteria; Oceanospirillales; Halomonadaceae
Description: Chromohalobacter salexigens DSM 3043 5' ureB small RNA
Rfam family: 5' ureB small RNA
Source: Rfam by way of RNAcentral
CCUCUUCCACCUGCUGGGGGCAGAUGAAGUGAAUAUGGGCGUCGAUGCCCCCGGCGGUGAGAAUCUUGCCCUCGCCGGCGAUCACUUCGGUGCCGGGGCCGAUGACGAUGUCGACGUCCGGUUGCGUAUCCGGAUUGCCGGCCUUGCCGAUGCUCGCGAUAUGGCCCUGCUUGAGUCCCACGUCGGCCUUGACGAUGCCCCACCAGUCGAGAAUCAGGGCAUUGGUGAUGACGGUAUCCAUCACCGCCUCGUCGACGCGCUGGCUCUGUCCCAUGCCAUCGCGG